Long non-coding RNA from Ochotona princeps (American pika), 985 nucleotides. RefSeq lists it as uncharacterized. The record is from RefSeq and is a predicted model, not a curated record. The transcript is spliced from 3 exons. NCBI's taxonomy places the organism in Eukaryota, Metazoa, Chordata, Mammalia, Lagomorpha, Ochotonidae.
GAGGUGAGAGAGGGAAAGGAGGAGGGCAGUGUGGGAAAGGGAGAGUGAGGAAAGAGGAAGGGGGAAACGUGGAGAAGGAGGAGGGGCUCCGAGGAAGAGGAAGGGGCCGGAAAGGGGGAAGGACAGCGAAGGGGAGAUGAAGGCGGUGAGGCUGCUGGAACUGCAGGACCCCCAGCAAAAGCUUCACGGGGUCUCUGCAGGCGAUCCUGGAGAGGAUAUGUUUAAAUUUAUCAUUUAUGCAACUAUAUGGUACUUCCGCCUCAAGGAAUUUGCCACCAUUUAACGAUGAUCAUUAAUCAUAUACCCCAGGGAGGAGGAGUCGCAUAAAUGGACAAUGAGACAAAAGCAUACCACGGCAGAUACACUCGAUUAAAAUCAAAUCACACGCUCCCAUGGAUGCAACCAAUAUUUACCUUAUCUGACAGUAAUUAGCUAAACAGUCUGGAACGAAAACCCAUUAUUAGUUGAACACAGCUCGCGGAUUGCAAAGAUCCCCUCCUCACACCAGGAGAUGCAAAUACCCCGCAUGCUCUGGAAACUGGAUCCUCGUUGGAACUGGAGUCCCAAGAGCCGGUGCAUUCAGCUACAAAACUAGGUGGGAAGCCAUCAGUGACACCACUAACUUAAUUGCUAAAAUUGCUAAAGGGACCUGCAAGUGCAGAGGCGCAAGAGAGGCCCUGGGGCCAGGGGACCGAGGAGUGCGUCUUCGUGGGAGGUGCUCCUUGAACACCGCCUCGGAGAACAGACCAGGGCAGAAAGACAUCCCAGGCGGAGAGGGCGGCUUGCUCUGAGGCCUCAGGUAGCAAUGGACAAGACGUCCUUUCAUCCGAAGACAACAACGGUGGAUCCUGCGCCUGGUGCAACUCGCCGGAAAACUUUCCCGGCUCCACACUUCUGGGGAGGGUGGGUAAUCUUCCCGGGAGUUGAUUCUCAGCCACCAAAGCCCCCACCCCCGAACUAGCUCUGAUCAGGAAGGUGCAGCCAG